UGUUGUGAGUAUACUUGUUAAUACCCUUAAUGUUUAUUUUAACAGAAGUGGGCUUCUAAAAACUUUUAAGAUUUACUUACCUUUUGCAUAAUGGUUUAACUAUAUUUGGUGGAAUAUUCAUAAUCCCGAGCUAAGAAGAUCUAAGUCAGCCUCUUAUUUAGGGGUGGUUCUCGCCUAAUGUAGCAUUAUUAGGCUUAAAGGCUGACUUAGGAGUGAAAGGCUUACAAUUCUUAAGAUAUCUGGAUACUUAAGAAAUGUAUUUAGUACAGGUUGUUAGACAUUAAAGAAGUGAUGAGAUUUCUUUAUAGCAGAAUAAGAGUGCUAUUAUUAUUGUAGUUUAUGGUUAAUAUCUUUUAGCUAGAGCUUGAUUUAUCAUUUUUUACUAAGCAAAUCUGCAGUUUUAUUAAGUUAAGAAAACAAACUUACGUGUUUUCUUAGAUAAUGUUAAAAUUAGUAGUAUUUUCAAUUUUAAUGAAGGAACUCGGCAAAAUUUAUCCUCGACUGUUUAGCAAAAACAUAGCCUAAAGUAUUAAAUUUUAGGUGGGCCCUGCCCAGUGUAGAGUCAUUAUUAACGGCCGCAGUACCUUGACUGUGCUAAGGUAGCGUAAUCAGUUGGCUUUUAAAUGAAGUCGAGAAUGAACGGGUUUAUCGGGGAUUAACUGUCUCUGUUAAAGUUAGUCUAACUUACUUAGGGGGUGAAAAUUCCCUCAUUAUUAGAAAAAAGACGAGAAGACCCUAAGAGUUUAUUUGGACUAGGGACUUUAUGGCUAGCCGUCGCAAGAGCUGGUUCUGUUCGAACCGUGACCCCUACAUGAUCUGAGUUCAGACCGGCGUAAGCCAGGUCAGAUUCUAUCUUUUUAAAAAUGUUCCUAGUACGAAAGGACCGGACCAUUACAA
This 897-nucleotide ribosomal RNA is filed under the name Platevindex sp. CL-2014. RNAcentral describes it as "16S ribosomal RNA". It matches the Rfam family "Bacterial large subunit ribosomal RNA", at positions 569 to 2705 of the family's 2925-position model. Lineage: Eukaryota; Metazoa; Mollusca; Gastropoda; Systellommatophora; Onchidiidae. The record is from RNAcentral.